This 919-nucleotide long non-coding RNA is filed under the name Homo sapiens (human). RNAcentral describes it as "HSALNT0113227". Lineage: Eukaryota; Metazoa; Chordata; Mammalia; Primates; Hominidae. The record is from RNAcentral.
CAAGAAUUGCUUAACUAUUCUUGGCCCUUUGUGGUUUCAUGUAAAUUUAGUACCAGAUUUUCAUUUUGGGUGUGUGAAUCCCGAAUAUCUGGGACAGAGCUCAGUUAAUUUAGAAAGUUUAUUUUGCCGAUGUUGAGGACAGACGCUCAUGACACAGCCUCAGAAGGUCCUGAUGACUUGUGGCUAAGAUGAUCAGGGCACAGCUUGGUUUUAUACAUUUUAGGAAGACAUGAGACAUCAAUCAAUAUAUGUAAGAUAUACAUUGGUAUCAACCAGAAAGGUAUUUCCUAUAUCUUCCUGUCUUUUCCAUGGCCAAAAAUGAUCAAGUAAAGAACAUUAAAGAAGAAAUAAAUUACUACAUAUUAAAAAAUACAUACUGUAAGAUGUUCUUUGUACAAAAAUGUGACAACUUCAAUAAGAGUAACUUGGACAACCUGAGGCAUUAAUUGAGGAUCAAUAUGAUGACUUUACAUUGAGAAUCACAUAUACCCUCUGAAUAAAUUUAAAAAAUGAAAUUUUUUAAUUUUCAUUAAAAAUUAAAUUUUUUUGAGUGAUGAAAAUACUCAAUCACAUUAUUUUCAAAUUGUUGAUAAGCAUGGAAAUUAUCAGAGAACCAGAAUAUUCAAGGUUUAUCUUUCCUGUUUUUGUCUUAAAUCACAACUAUGUGUUAAAUAAUUUGUAUGACCUAUUUCAGUGGCAGUAGGUUAAAUAAAAUUCUGUUUGUAUCUCCUGUUUUUUGUUUUAAAUUUAUUAUUAUUAUGCUUUAAGUUUUAGGGUACAUGUGCACAAUGUGCAGCUUAGUUACAUAUGUAUACAUGUACCAUGCUGGUGCGCUGCACCCACUAACUUGUCACACACGUAAUGUAUCUCCUGUUUUUGUGCUUCUCAAAUUGAAGUCACUGAAUCCUCAAGAAUUCAU